Molecule: ribosomal RNA, 460 nt
Filed under: uncultured bacterium
Lineage: Bacteria
Description: partial 16S ribosomal RNA
Rfam family: Bacterial small subunit ribosomal RNA
Source: RNAcentral
CCUACGGGUGGCAGCAGUGAGGAAUAUUGGUCAAUGGGCUUACGCCUGAACCAGCCAAGUCGCGUGAGGGAAGACUGCCCUAUGGGUUGUAAACCUCUUUUGUCAGGGAGCAACGCCGGCUACGUGUAGCCGGACUGGGAUUCCCUGAAGAAAAAGCAUCGGCUAACUCCGUGCCAGCGGCAGCGGUAAUACGGAGGAUGCGAGCGUAAUCCGGAUUUAUUGGGUUUAAAGGGUGGGUAGGCGGCAUGCCAAGUCAGCGGUAAAAGCCCGGGGCUCAACCUGGCGCCGCCGUUGAAACUGGCGUUCUUGAGUGGGAGAGAAGUAUGCGGAAUGCGUGGUGUAGCGGUGAAAUGCAUAGAUAUCACGCAGAACUCCGAUUGCGAAGGCAGCAUACCGGCGCCCAACUGACGCUGAAGCACGAAAGCGUGGGUAUCGAACAGGAUUAGAUACCCGAGUAGUC